UAUGUGAGGGUGGUAACUGAA
RNAcentral lists this microRNA (21 nucleotides) under Brachypodium distachyon (stiff brome). Its description in RNAcentral is "bdi-miR9480b". The record is from miRBase by way of RNAcentral. Lineage: Eukaryota; Viridiplantae; Streptophyta; Magnoliopsida; Poales; Poaceae.